This 499-nucleotide ribosomal RNA is filed under the name uncultured Glomeromycotina. Its description in RNAcentral is "partial small subunit ribosomal RNA". It matches the Rfam family "Eukaryotic small subunit ribosomal RNA", at positions 591 to 1092 of the family's 1831-position model. Lineage: Eukaryota; Fungi; Glomeromycota. The record is from RNAcentral.
CCAAUAGCGUAUAUUAAAGUUGCUGCAGUUAAAAAGCUCGUAGUUGAAUUUCGGGACCAUCAUGUCGGUCGUGCCUCGGUACGUACUGGCAUUGUUGGUUUCUCCCUUCUGACGAACCAUGAUGUCAUUUAUUUGGUGUUGUGGGGAAUCAGGACUGUUACUUUGAAAAAAUUAGAGUGUUUAAAGCAGGCUCACGCUUGAAUACAUUAGCAUGGAAUAAUGAAAUAGGACGUUUGAUUCUAUUUUGUUGGUUUCUAGGAUCGACGUAAUGAUUAAUAGGGAUAGUUGGGGGCAUUAGUAUUCAAUUGCCAGAGGUGAAAUUCUUGGAUUUAUUGAAGACUAACUACUGCGAAAGCAUUUGCCAAGGAUGUUUUCAUUAAUCAGGAACGAAAGUUAGGGGAUCGAAGACGAUCAGAUACCGUCGUAGUCUUAACCAUAAACUAUGCCAACUAGGGAUCGGAUGAUGUUAAUUUUUUAAUGACUCAUUCGGCGCCUUACG